UUCGGCGUUUCACCUCCAUCUCUUCCGCUCUUGGCAUUUCAUACUCCGAGAACACUCCUCGGCGCCUGUGCUUUUCUCGGCUCCGAGAACACUCUUCCCACAGCGGCGCGACUGUGGUUGUGGUUUAGGCUACAGAGAGAAGGAGAGCUAGGUUAGGGGAAGGCGAAGGCCAAAAAACUGAAAGCACUGUUUCUACGGUUUGAAUUAGUAGUUAUAGAACCUUCAGAGACUGCUGUUUCCGCUGCCUCUUCGUCGAAAUGUCCGAAGUCUGAGCAAAUUGGUGGGGAAAUUAGCAGCGUUAGCAUGAGAGAGGAGGAGGAGAGAGCCUUUAAUGCCGAAUCGGAGAAUUUUGAAGAGAGGUUUGUCAUCACCAGGAAGCGUAUGUGAGAAGAGCUGUUCUUUUUGCUGCCUCAUGUGUAUUGGUUUCCCUUCACCCUACUUCCAUUUCAUCUGCCUUGCUCGAUGGAAAUGUUGAAAUUUCUAUUGGUCUUGAAUAGAUUCGCACAUGGGCCCUUAUUUAGCUGAGUUAGACACAGAUAAAGAAUGCUAUACGAUGACUAUGACAUGUCUACAACUACAUCUCCAAACUUCCCGAGCUUUGCAGUCAACAAGAAGUUCACUCAAGGUAGGCCCUGCACUUACAUCUGGCACAUCCAAUGUUACCAUUAAAAUUCCCUACAAUUCCCAACUUAAAUUGGGAUUAGAGAUGCUUUCGGCUAUUGUGAGUGGCUUCUAGCCCAACAUAUAAAUUUUUUAAUGAUAUAUCUUCCAUGGAAGCUGGAGAUAUUGAAGACCUUAGAAGGAACUGAACUUCUUUUAUUUUAGGUGUUAGUAGAAAUUUGGUUACAAUUCAAUAGUAU
Vigna umbellata (rice bean) is the source of this 860-nucleotide non-coding RNA. NCBI's taxonomy places the organism in Eukaryota, Viridiplantae, Streptophyta, Magnoliopsida, Fabales, Fabaceae. The record is from RefSeq and is a predicted model, not a curated record.